RNAcentral lists this ribosomal RNA (179 nucleotides) under uncultured Syntrophus sp. Its description in RNAcentral is "partial 16S ribosomal RNA". It matches the Rfam family "Bacterial small subunit ribosomal RNA", at positions 1205 to 1382 of the family's 1533-position model. The record is from RNAcentral. Lineage: Bacteria; Pseudomonadati; Thermodesulfobacteriota; Syntrophia; Syntrophales; Syntrophaceae.
UGCCCAGGGCUACACACGUGCGUACAAUGAGUGGUACAAAGAGAGGCAAGCUCGCGAGAGUAAGCAAAUCUCAAAAAGCCAUCCUCAGUUCGGAUUGGAGUCUGCAACUCGACCCCAUGAAGUCGGAAUCGCUAGUAAUCGCGGAUCAGCAUGCCGCGGUGAAUACGUUCCCGGGCCUU